CCCCCUCUCCCGCCCUCAGCCCCCUUCCCGCGUCGCGACGCACGCAGCUGGGCGGACGCCGCCACGCCGAGGUAGGCCGUGCGGUGCGGGUCGGGCCCUGAGGUGGACGGAGACGAGGCGAAGAUGAGUGAUUGCUGGAGGCGGUGAAGUGCAAGGCCUGGGACUCUUGAUUCCUCAAGGAUCAGCCUAGCAGCAGGGUGAGAGUAUAAACCGAGCAGUAAUGGUCUUUCCUUUCCUCUUGACACUUCACAACGUUUAUAAAGUCGGCGAAAGCGUCCCUUGUAUUAGAGAGUUAAGAAAAAAGUAUCACGAGUUGCUCCAGCAGACGAUUUUUCAGCCUCAUUUGUAUGGUCGGAUUAUCCUUCCAUUUCUACCUUAAGGAGAUUUGUCAAUCCAUUUUUCCAGGUAGUAGGGAGAAAAAUGAAGCCAACAGGUACAGACCCAAGGAUCUUGUCUUUAGCUGCUGAAGUAGCGAAAAGUCCUGAACAAAAUGUCCCUGUUAUAUUGUUGAAGUUAAAAGAAAUAAUAAACAACACCCCUUUGGGAAGUUCAGAGUUGAAGAAAGUCAAACAAGAUAUAUAUUGUUAUGACCUCAUUCAGUAUUGUCUAUUGGUCCUCAGUCAAGAUUGUUCUCGAAUCCAGGGUGGCUGGACUACAAUUUCCCAGCUUACACAGAUCCUAAGCCAUUGCUGUGUGGGCUUAGAGCCAGGCGAAGAUGGAGAGGAAUUUUACAAGGAAUUACUUCCAUCAGCUGCCGAAAAUUUUCUUGUCUUGGGGAGAUGAUUACAAACUUGUUUCAUCAAUGCAGCUA
Long non-coding RNA from Onychomys torridus (southern grasshopper mouse), 811 nucleotides. RefSeq lists it as uncharacterized. The transcript has 5 exons. Lineage: Eukaryota; Metazoa; Chordata; Mammalia; Rodentia; Cricetidae. The record is from RefSeq and is a predicted model, not a curated record.